UCCCCAUUUCGGGGGUCUCUCCCAGGGUCAGACUCGUUCCCCGAGCGCCGCCCCCCCCGCAAGGGGAACACUCUCUACGUGCACGGCGCCGAGCUCAGCCCGGAGCUGCUGCGCGGAGCCUUCGGCCCCUUCGGCGCCAUCAUCGACCUCUCCAUGGACACGCCCCGGAACUGCGCCUUCGUCACCUUUGAGAAGAUGGAGUCGGCCGACCAGGCCAUGGCCGAGCUGAACGGGGCCGUGGUGCAGGACGUGCAGCUCAAGGUCUCCAUCGCCCGCAAGCAGCCGCUGCUGGACGCGGCCACCGGCAAAUCGCUCUGGGGGUCCCUGGGUGAGCUGGGGGGCCUGGG
Long non-coding RNA from Passer montanus (Eurasian tree sparrow), 347 nucleotides. RefSeq lists it as uncharacterized. The transcript has 3 exons. The record is from RefSeq and is a predicted model, not a curated record. Lineage: Eukaryota; Metazoa; Chordata; Aves; Passeriformes; Passeridae.